This 480-nucleotide ribosomal RNA is filed under the name uncultured bacterium. Its description in RNAcentral is "bacterial SSU rRNA". It matches the Rfam family "Bacterial small subunit ribosomal RNA", at positions 29 to 506 of the family's 1533-position model. The record is from RNAcentral.
GCGAACGCUGGCGGCGUGCUUAAUACAUGCAAGUCGAACGUGAAGGUCCCUUCGGGGAUAAGUAAAGUGGCGUACGGGUGAGUAACACGUGGGAAUCUACCUUAAAGUCUGGAAUAACCUGCCGAAAGGCGGGCUAAUACCGGAUAGCUCGAUUUCGGGAAAGGGAGCUCGCAAGAGCCCUCGCUUUAAGAUGAGCCCGCGUCCCAUUAGCCAGUUGGUAGGGUAAUGGCCUACCAAAGCUAUGAUGGGUAGUUGGUCUAAGAGGAUGAUCAGCCACACUGGCACUGAAACACGGGCCAGACUCCUACGGGAGGCAGCAGUAGGGAAUAUUGCGCAAUGGACGAAAGUCUGACGCAGCAACGCCGCGUGAGUGAAGAAGACCUGAGGGUUGUAAAGCUCUGUCAAGAGGGACGAAAAUGCUUAAGGUUAAUAGCCUUAGGAACUGACGGUACCUUUGAAGGAAGCACCGGCUAACUCCGU